RNAcentral lists this long non-coding RNA (212 nucleotides) under Lathyrus oleraceus (garden pea). RNAcentral describes it as "Pisum sativum (pea) long non-coding RNA (PSAT_LNC023908)". The record is from RNAcentral. Lineage: Eukaryota; Viridiplantae; Streptophyta; Magnoliopsida; Fabales; Fabaceae.
UAUUUUGCUUGUGUAUAUUGUGUUUUUUUGUGUUGUCUUUGACCAUUAAUGUACAUAAUAAGAACAAAAACCAUAAAAAAACAUCUUGUGUGGAUUAUUGGUUUAGUUUGAGACUAUGUGGACUUAGAAUUUAGGCAACACUCCCUAUGAAAAGGACUUGGCCAAUGCCAACUUUCAUGUAACCAAGUGCUUGUAAUUUGAAACUUCAUUUG